This 460-nucleotide ribosomal RNA is filed under the name uncultured bacterium. RNAcentral's name for it is "partial 16S ribosomal RNA". It matches the Rfam family "Bacterial small subunit ribosomal RNA", at positions 338 to 795 of the family's 1533-position model. The record is from RNAcentral.
CCUACGGGGGGCAGCAGUGAGGAAUAUUGGUCAAUGGGCGCAAGCCUGAACCAGCCAAGUCGCGUGAGGGAAGAUGGCCCUACGGGUUGUAAACCUCUUUUGCCGGGGAGCAAGCCUGAGCACGUGUGCCCAGGCGGAGAGUACCCGGAGAAAAAGCAUCGGCUAACUCCGUGCCAGCAGCCGCGGUAAUACGGAGGAUGCGAGCGUUAUCCGGAUUUAUUGGGUUUAAAGGGUGCGUAGGCGGAUUUUUAAGUCAGCGGUAAAAUGUCCGGGCUCAACCCGGGCCGGCCGUUGAAACUGGGGAUCUUGAGUGGGCGAGAAGUAUGCGGAAUGCGUGGUGUAGCGGUGAAAUGCAUAGAUAUCACGCAGAACUCCGAUUGCGAAGGCAGCAUACCGGCGCCCGACUGACGCUGAGGCACGAAAGCGUGGGGAUCGAACAGGAUUAGAUACCCGUGUAGUC